Molecule: long non-coding RNA, 3608 nt
Organism: Malania oleifera
Lineage: Eukaryota; Viridiplantae; Streptophyta; Magnoliopsida; Santalales; Ximeniaceae
Exons: 2
Source: RefSeq, a predicted model, not a curated record
AGGUAAAUUGAUAUCAUCAGGUACAGGAUUAUCAGAAGAAAGCUCAAUUACAAGAUCACGAUUAGGCAUGGACUCAUGGUUAUUUGGAGCCAUCACCGGUUCUGACGCUCUUGGUGCCUCAGGUCAGGAAUUGAUGCAAUGGAAGGCUCGAUAGAUGGGUCAGGGAAUGAAGCAACGGAAGGCUCAAUAGGUGGUACGGGUUCAGAUGACACAGAUUCAAUAGUAAAGAGGUCAAAGAACCGAUCUUCACUCCAUGUCUCCCCCUGAAGAGAGGGCUUUGGGAAAUAAGGAGUUGUUUCAAAGAAAGUAAUGUCAAGACUAACAAACAGCCUUUUGGAGACUGGAUCAUAGCAUUUGUAGCCUUUCUGAGUAGGGGAAUAACCAAGGAAGACACAUUUAACGGCUUGUGGAUCCAAUUUAUCCCAGUUUUGUGCAUGAACAUAAACAAACGUAGUACAACCAAAGAUUUUCAGCAGGAGAUUGGAUGGAAGCCGAGAGGUAGGAAAGUGUUCUUGGAAUUUCUGAAGAGGAGUGACAAAGGAAAGUACUCGACUCGGCAUUCGUUUAAUGAGAUGUGUGGCUGUUAAGAUGGCAUUGCCCCAAAAAUAGUUUUUCAUGUUGGUAGUGAACAUUAACGCCCGAGCUACUUCAAGUAUAUGUCUAUUUUUCCGACCAGCCACCCCAUUUUGUUGAGGGGUAUCCACACAAGAACUCUGAUGAACAAUCCCAUUUUCUUGAAGAUAAGUUUCCAGAAUAGUAUUAAAGUAUUCCGUACCAUUAUCAGUACGUAAAAUUUGAAUAUUAGUCUGGAAUUGUGUAUGAAUCAUGGAAUGAAAACUGAUAAAAAUGGAGCGGACUUCAGUUUUGUCUUUCAGCAAGUUAACCCAACAAAGACGAGUAUGGUCAUCAAUAAACGUAACGAACCAUUUUGUAUUUGUGCGAUUGAGUGAACGUGAGGGACCCCACAAAUCACUAUGAAUCAUAGUAAAUGGGCGAGAUGGUUUGUAUAUGGAUGAUGGGAAAUAAGUACGACGGUGUUUUGCAAGCUCACACACUUCACAUUGAAACUCAGGAGACUUUUUAUUUGAACAAAUAGACGGAAACAAACGUUUUAAAUAUUGGAAAUUGGGAUAAGUCAUUCUUGCAUGCCAUAACAAAAGUUCACUAUCUCUGGAAAUAGAUACAAAAUCACAAAUUGCAGUAUUUUAUAGUUCGCUCAAGCUUGCCUCCUCAAAGUAGUAAAGUCCCUCAUGCGUCUUAGCAGUGCCAAUCGUCUUCCCUGAUGAUAGAUCCUGAAAAACACAAUGAGAUGAAACAAAUUUAGCAGAACAAUUCGAGUCUUUUGUUAAUUGACUGAUGGAUAAUAGAUUGCAAGACAGCUUGGGAACAUGUAGGACUGAUUGUAAAGUGAUCGAGUCAGACAUGCGAAUACUUCCUUUACCAGCAACUGGUGAGAGAGAGUCAUCUACAAUUUUUACUCUCAAAUUCCCAACAUAUGGUGAGUAGGAUGAAAAACAUUGAUAAGAACCAGUCAUAUGAUUAGAUGCGCCCGAGUCAAUUAUCCGUGGAGAUUUGUAAUAGGAUGUAGUAUUUAAAGUUGACAGAUAAUUACCUCGGUGAGCUAGGGAACCAGAAGAAGACUGACCCAAUGUUUGAAUUGACGAAAUCAUUUUAUACAGCUGGUCUAACUAUUUAGGACUAAAUGCACUACUUGAAGAGUUAUUGAUUUUUUCUCCUUGUAAUUUUUCAGUUGACCUGUCAGUGCUAGUCUGGUACCCACGAUUUUUUUGGUAUUGUCUCGACUUCCAAUCUUCCGGUUUUCCAUGAAUCUCCUAGCAAGUAUCUUUUGAAUGCCCUUUUUUUCGGCAAUGUUCGCCCCAUAAUUUACCUUUUUGUGGUCGUUGGCUGGAUCCCCGUGGGCCUUUUGAUACAAUGGCCGAGACAUCAGGCCCAUUAGUAUGCCCAUUUAGAUUUGGGGCGGAUACGGGUAGGUCCAACCUGACAGGAUCAUUUUGGGGCCUCAGCAUUACACGCCUCCUGCUUUCCUCCCUCCUAACCUCUACGAAUACCUCUCGGGUUAAAGGAAGAGGUCGUUGGCUAAGGAUGCGUCCCCUCACCUCGUCCAGAUCUCGGUUCAGGCCGACAAGAAACUCGAAGACCCUUUCGUUCUUGAGCCUCCUUCGGUAUCGUGUGCUGUCACCGGAGCACUCCCACUCCUCGUCGGUGCUUAAGUCGAGUUCCUACCAGAGAUGGGUCAUCUCCUUGAAGUACUCAGUAACGCCUCUCUCACCUUGCCUCAUCUGCCACAAUCGGGUCUUGAUUUCGAAGAUUUGCGAGUAACUCUCGACGUCGGAAUAUGUCUCACGAACAGCGUCCCAAACGUCCUUCGUCGUUUGCAAGAACAGGUAGAUUUUCCCGAGUGAUGGCUGCAUCGAGUUGACGAGCCAGGCGAUGGCCAUGGAGUUUUCGGACCUCCAUUUUUGCAAGGCAACAACAUCGGUAGAGUCUGGUUUCCUCCGUUCGCCGGUAAGAUAGCCUAGCCUCCAUUUUCCUUCAAUCACCAAUUUUAUGGAUUUAGCCCACUCACAGAAAUUUUUUCUAUUUAAUUUCUACACUGAGAGUGGAAAGGAUAUGUUGUCAAGCCCAUUUGAACCCCCAACAGAUGUGGCCUCUAAGUCGCUGUCAAUAUUUGCAGAAGAGGUCGACCCUCUGCUGUUGAUGGUGCCGCUGGCCAUAGUUAGCUAAGGUUGAGAAACCCUAACUCUGAUACCAUGUAAGCGGAAGUUUUUAAAUUCUAUUGAAUUAAUUUUCAUAUGUACAUCCCAAUCUUAUAUAAUACAAUUCCCUAUUCUAAACAUGGAAAUAAUCUCCUUACCGAAUAAUAUCAAAUCCCCCACAUUUACUCACUUUCCUAAUUUGCUAAUUAUUUACAAUGAUACUUGGGAUUUUAACAGGAGUGACUUCAGGAAUAUCUAUUUUUUCGUCCUGAAACUCCAUUUUGUUGUGGAGUGCCGACAUAAGAUGAUUGAUGGAUCGUACCAGAAUUAGUCAUAUAGAUAUUGAAUUGGGUACUGAAGUACUCCUUAGCAUUAUCACUAUGAAGUAUCUCGACUAGUGUAUCAAAGUGGGUCUUAUUUGAAAAUAGAAGGCACGAAAGAUAUUAAACAAUUUAGAACGAUCCUUCAUUAAACCAAGGUUGUUAGAAUCAGGAUCCUACAUAGGAUCGUUCGAAGGGUCCGCAGGAUUGGAUCGUGGAUUUUAAGAUUUUACUUACAAUGUAAAACAAAUUAAAAUCUUAUAUAUUUGCCAUUUUAUGAGAGCUCUCAAUAAAAUAGUCCCAAAAUAUUGGAGUGAGUUUAAGAAAUUAAAACAAAUUUCAGGAAUGUAGCUAGCAUGCUAGCUAGCACCUAGCAGGGUUUUCCUUCAACAAUUUGACCCUAAAAGAAAAUCUAAAUAGUCUGAAAUGCAAAGUGUUCUUCAAAAGGCAGACUGUUGCUAGCUUAUUUAUUUAAUAAUUGUAAUUAAUAAGAAAAACAAAACGAAGAAGAAGAAGCAAGCAAGCAAAGGGAAAGCGAAGGAAGAAGAAGAAGAGCGUAGAGGCAAGCAAA